CCACACUGACGCACAUUAGUUAUAGAGUUAAUACCAGCCAGUGAACUGUGAAACCCCCUUAUUGCCCUCAUGCCACUUCUGGAGAAGAGAAAGGGAAUUUCAAAGCAUUAUCUGGGGAAACCUCUGUUUGGAGCAUGUCCCCAGUAUCUGAAAUAACUAAUGAGAAGAAUGUACUAAACCAUUUCAUGCAGAAAAUUUCAUUCUUCAAAUAUGCAAGAGGAAGACCUAGAAAGAAAUUGGCAGUGAGGUUCUGGGGUAUCUGUGACACUGGAGGGCAGAGCCCACCUUCAGGAGCUACAACAUGCCACUGGAUAAUAGUGGAGAAGAAUCCAGCUUUGCUUGUUGAGAUCCUCAGAGCUGACCCCAGCAAGCAUCCCCAGCUGUGAUAACUCCUAUUACUAACACGGGCUUUCUCAGAUGCAGAAACCUGAAGCCUACACAGACCCACCAGCCAGCAAAAGCAGAAAAGCUAGUUUCACUCAAACUCUGGUUUCACUGGUAAAUCUAAUUGUGUGCAUUUGUUGUCUUCAAGUCUUCAAAACGUACACUCUUCGUUGGUAAUAGUGAAAAUUUUUCAUGUGCAGGAGGAGAAUAAACUUUUUUUUCUUUUAAUAAAAUACUACACAGAAUCAAUGCAUAACAUAACAUGCAUUGACAUUAAGAAAUCUCAAAAAUAAUAUUAAGUGAAACACUAAGUUGCAAAAGAAUAUCACUUUCAUAAAUCAAAAACAGCCAGAGCAAUGCUAUUGCAUUGCAGUAAAGGUACAAAAAUACACAUACAUAGGAUAAAACACCAACUUCAGAAUACUGAUCACUUCCGGGCACAGAGGAGGCACAACAAUUAGCUGAAUUUAUCAUUUCUCAAUCAACUAAAGUCCGGGUCGACUAUGGCAAGAUUACUUUUUAUAUCUAGAUGCUAUUUUAUGGUAAUAUCAUUAUGCAUACUCUUCUAUAUGUCUGAUAUUUCUCAUGUUAUAAAUAAUUCUAUGUGAAAAUUUUUUAUGUGAUUUUUAAAUGAUUACUUAAAGAUGACUCAUACUACAGUCCCUGGCCAGGAAACCAGUUAGAGCUUAACUGCAUGAACUGAGAUGGUGCUGCUUUUUCUCCACAAGAGGAGUUGUAACCUCAUCUUCACCCUGUGUCACAACCCUUCUCCAUCCCCCUUGGUUUAGACUACGAGCUAAUACUUGAGGACAUGUUCCAAACACUGCAAACAUAUCACAGUUUAUGUCCUUGGUGAUAGGCUCAAAAACCAUACAAUAUGCAAAUGAUUUGGGAAAAUAAAGUAUAAAUGUACAGACAGAAAAUGAUUUAUAGAUCUUCAACAAAUGGGCAAAUUAAAAGGGAAAAAUUGUUUUCUCCAUAAAUUAAAAUGUAUGUUCAAAUACAAAUAAUGUUUAAAAACCCAAAUAAUAAAAUAUAAAAAAAAUAAAACCCAAAUUAAAACACCAA
Marmota monax (woodchuck) is the source of this 1452-nucleotide long non-coding RNA. RefSeq lists it as uncharacterized. NCBI's taxonomy places the organism in Eukaryota, Metazoa, Chordata, Mammalia, Rodentia, Sciuridae. The transcript is spliced from 3 exons. The record is from RefSeq and is a predicted model, not a curated record.